UCGACGGUUUAUGUUUUUUUU
This 21-nucleotide non-coding RNA is filed under the name Caenorhabditis elegans. The record is from RNAcentral. Lineage: Eukaryota; Metazoa; Nematoda; Chromadorea; Rhabditida; Rhabditidae.